Molecule: long non-coding RNA, 635 nt
Filed under: Brassica napus (rape)
Lineage: Eukaryota; Viridiplantae; Streptophyta; Magnoliopsida; Brassicales; Brassicaceae
Description: long non-coding RNA (BNAP_LNC010155)
Source: RNAcentral
CUUGCUCUUUUGAUUUCUUUGCAGCCAAGGUUUGCUGUCGAGAAGUCCUCUGUGUCCCAGAGCCAGCUGGCUUGGAGGCUAAGGCUUUCCCACUUAGUGCAGACUCUUUUCUUUCAGCUUCUUGCUUCUCAGCAUCCAGCUUUCCCUUUGUUUUCUUAAUCAUUGGUACCUGAAAAAUUCAAAACUUGAAAAGGGAUAAGUAGAUGGAAGCAAAGAAGAUUAAGACUUUGUAAAUGAAAAUUGCAAGAGUAAACUCAACAAAUGAACUAGCAAUUUAAGCUCAAGUUAACCCAAUGCAACUAUUUCACACAUUUAGCACUAAGAAGCCAAGCUAAGAGCAAAGAAUCACACUUCUCAAUCUUAUCAAAAUAUGAAAAUUACAAGUUAAGUAAAAUUCAAUAAUCAAAGUGGUUCUAGAAUGAGAAAAUUCUUUAAUCAAACUUUUAAACGCCUUAACACACCAAGUUCACCCACCAACACACUCAAUUAAGGUCAAUUUCGAAAAGCCCCAAAUCCAUGAACCCUAAUUUUGUCAAAGUUCAAAUUAAACUCAAUUUCACCAUUAAUUUAACAACCCAACUUGAUAGAUAAACUUUUCCUAGUCUAUUUCACCACAAUCAAGCAAGAAAAUGACC